AUUGAACGCUGGCGGCAGGCCUAACACAUGCAAGUCGAGCGGAUGAAGGGAGCUUGCUCCUGGAUUCAGCGGCGGACGGGUGAGUAAUGCCUAGGAAUCUGCCUGGUAGUGGGGGAUAACGUCCGGAAACGGGCGCUAAUACCGCAUACGUCCUGAGGGAGAAAGUGGGGGAUCUUCGGACCUCACGCUAUCAGAUGAGCCUAGGUCGGAUUAGCUAGUUGGUGGGGUAAAGGCCUACCAAGGCGACGAUCCGUAACUGGUCUGAGAGGAUGAUCAGUCACACUGGAACUGAGACACGGUCCAGAUUCCUACGGGAAGCAGCAGUGGGGAAUAUUGGACGAUGGGCGAAAGCCUGAUCCAGCCAUGCCGCGUGUGUGAAGAAGGUCUUCGGAUUGUAGAGCACUUUAAGUUGGGAGGAAGGGCAGUAAGUUAAUACCUUGCUGUUUUGACGUUACCAACAGAAUAAGCACCGGCUAACUUCGUG
Molecule: ribosomal RNA, 484 nt
Filed under: uncultured bacterium
Lineage: Bacteria
Description: partial 16S ribosomal RNA
Rfam family: Bacterial small subunit ribosomal RNA
Source: RNAcentral